RNAcentral lists this ribosomal RNA (468 nucleotides) under uncultured bacterium. Its description in RNAcentral is "partial 16S ribosomal RNA". It matches the Rfam family "Bacterial small subunit ribosomal RNA", at positions 28 to 507 of the family's 1533-position model. The record is from RNAcentral.
GACGAACGCUGGCGGCGUGCUUAACACAUGCAAGUCGAACGGAAAGGCCCGGCUUUUGUGGGGUGCUCGAGUGGCGAACGGGUGAGUAACACGUGAGUACCCUGCCCCUGACUGUGGGAUAACUUAAGGAAACAGGGGCUCUUACCGGGUAGGAGCUCUUGCUGCAUGGUGGGGGCGGGAAAGAUUCGGCGGUUGGGGAUGGACUCGCGGCUUAUCAGCUUGUUGGUGGGGUGGUGGGUGCCCAAGGCUUUGCCGGGUAGCCGGCCUGCGAGGGUGACCGGCCACAUUGGGACUGAGAUACGGCCCAGCCUCCUACGGGCGGCAGCAGUGGGGAAUAUUGCACAAUGGGCGGAAGCCUGAUGCAGCAACGCCGCGUGCGGGAUGACGGCCUUCGGGUUGUAAACCGCUUUCGCCUGUGACGAAGCGUGAGUGACGGUAAUGGGUAAAGAAGCACCGGCUAACUACGUG